GUAGUUUACAAGUUUGUAAAAAAGUUAGCAGAAUUCAGUCCCGCCACUUUUUCUCUUAUUUCCCUCCAUUUUUCCCACGUCAAUGAUUCCCCUCCAUUUAAUUUAAAAAUAAAAACUGAAACUGCUCGGUUGUUCCACAAAAUCUGCCCCUCAUCUACUUGACCACCACGCAUGGUUCCAUCUUCCCCGUCAACGCCUCCACUCAUCACGAACCCCGCCGCCGCAAAGUUCACAUUCCUCCUUGACGCGCCAUCUCUCUGUCCACCUAGCAGAGUCGUCUGUUGCCGCCCUCUCUCCACGUAGCUACGCCGCGGGUGAGCCCUCUGCAUGUUGUUGCUGCAGAGGAACUUCGCCCUGUACUGGUAGAUCGUGCCUCCAGUGGAAGCGUGAUCGAGUACUCCACGGAGGCGAUGCAGCUCGUCGUCCCCAACCCAUUGACGUGCUCACCUACCUCGCAUGGAAGAUAUCUGAGUUCCCCGGGUGCCGCGCGAUUGGCUCCAUCACCAACCUUCACUCCUCCAAGUUCAGAUUCCUCAUCGCCGAGCACCUCGGUGUCAAAGCGCAGGACGUGCAGAUCUUCUCCCCAGUGGCCAAUUUAUUCUCUCUCCCCACAGAAGCGAAGGACCCUCCCCUGCAUUGUCGUCUCCUUUUCGCCCUCCUCUUCUCAGUAGGCCAACAAGUACACAUCUGCAUGGAGGCAGAUGCAAACCGAGGGGGUCGAGGUCAAGUCUAUUAGCUCAGAUAGAUGUAAGCAAUUUUGACGCAUUCUGAAAAAUAGCGUACUACAUAUCUAGCUUCAGGAUUUGAGGUAUUUUGCACUUUGUAUUAAACAUAAACAGCUCUGUUAUUGUUCUUGAUAUAUGUAUGGCCACAUAUGCUUCUGAAAUAUCAUGCAGUAUAAAUUUUAUUUUACUCAAGGACCAAACUUCAAGCUUUGAUAUUCUUUUUGUAAUUUUGUGUUCAACAAAAGUAGCUCAGUUCUUGAUAUAUCCAUGCAGAAUUGCAUACAUAUGCUUCUUAAAACAGUGUAAUCUGAAUCUUUUACUUAAGGACCUACCUUCAGACUUUGAGCAGUAUUCUGUAUUUAAUCUGUAAAAUAGUUUUGUCCUGGAAAUUCAAUAUUGAUAUAAUAAAAAAGUGAAGACACAAUACAAGCAAUUGUGCAACUCCUACUCUAACGCAUAAUACUUAGAUGCACUUUGGACAGCAAAGCAGCAUCUGUUAUUUCGAACACAUGGUGUGCUCCCCUGAUUUGUGUGCACCCUUUUCUUCUAUUAACAAGUGUAGGAUGCAAUUUGUAUGGUGGGCACAUGCAUGACAAGAAGGUAAACAUAACAGCAAUAGAUGUCUUCCGUUCCACCACAUACCAAGAACAGUGACUUCUGCAACUACCAAACAAGUGUUGGCACUAUAUUAUUUUAAAGAGCUUGGGAAAUCAAAACGAGAAUGUUGCUCUUGCUACACUCUAAAGUACCGACAAGAAUAUAAAAGUGAUGGUAUCAAACUUGGUAAUGAGUUCUGAGCAGUAUGAGUUUGAUGCUAUGUUAGCAAAAUAUGAUCUGUUGAUAUGACAACUAAAAAAGGAUUAAAAGUUAUUGGUCAGGCGAUAAAAUUAAUUAUCACAUGACCUUCAACCUUCGUAUGUUGCUCGUCUAAAUUUUACUGCUCUAUUAACUUGAUUUUAUCUAACGGCUCGUUACUGAUAUCAUUUCUCUAUUGUUGUAGAUUGCCAAGGUAAAUAAAUGAUGCAUGUCUCAUAUUAUCUGAAGGUCAAGAACGGGGUUACGUACUUCUAGAUAGCUUCACAUUACGUUUUGGAAUGUCGUUUCCAGAGUUGAUGUUUCAAACAUUAUGAUUUAGAAAGGCAGAGGUGUCAAUUGCAAGGCCAAGAAUCGAUAAUAGUUUAAGUCACGUAAUCUUUGGAGCGUGUUGUUUGUAAUGCAACAAAGCCGAUUUAAUA
Molecule: long non-coding RNA, 1960 nt
Organism: Aegilops tauschii subsp. strangulata
Lineage: Eukaryota; Viridiplantae; Streptophyta; Magnoliopsida; Poales; Poaceae
Source: RefSeq, a predicted model, not a curated record